Long non-coding RNA from Hordeum vulgare subsp. vulgare (domesticated barley), 2026 nucleotides. RefSeq lists it as uncharacterized. The record is from RefSeq and is a predicted model, not a curated record. NCBI's taxonomy places the organism in Eukaryota, Viridiplantae, Streptophyta, Magnoliopsida, Poales, Poaceae. The transcript is spliced from 2 exons.
UCCGCCCACCCUCCCAGCCCUGCUCGUCCUCUCCCCUACCUUCGCUGGCAAAGUUGUCGCCGAUGAUGGAGCCCAGCCGGCCUUUUUCCGUCGUCGGUAGGUUGGAUGAUGAAUGGAAGAUGCCCACAUCUGCUCAAAUCUGCAUGGUAUUAACCAUGAGAGUGCUGGCUUGGAGACCAACAAUUAGGACGGAGAGCAGUACCAGUCCCCAAUGCAGCAUGAAGUGCCCUUCCGAUUGGUAAAAUGAUCCCCCAGAUUGACUUGAGUUUGGAAUACUCUGUGCACAACUAGUUCAACAUGGAUUACAAAUUUGCAGUGUCCAGCCGAGAGAAGUGAUGGAUAAGAUGCAUGCAUAGAAUCUUUCCAGAUGAAUGCCAUUUGUGGGAAAGACCUUGUGUAUGAGUCUCAUUCCAGCAAAAAUCAAGUUCUGAUGGUGAGGAUGUACUGCAGGCUCACCAAGAAAGGGACGGAGAUAUUCAAGAAUUCCUCCCAGUACCUGAUGAGGAAGAAUUGGUUGAGGAUCCCACGGUGGACAUGGCAGCUAUAAUAAGGGAAGCAAGAAGCAAAGACGUGAAGGCCAAGGCAAUUAACAUAGCAGCAGUUCGCCCAUCGUCCGGGCAUCCUGAUCAGGACCGAGCUGCCGCACGCUCUGAUUUGCAGCGAUCUGCCAUUUUGGUCUCUGAAAGGGGGGGCUUCUGCACUCACUCUACCAAGAGGAGGAUGGGUGUCUCUCUCUCUCUCUCUUCCUGGGUUCAGACUCCAGACGGCUAUGCAGGACGAAACUGCCCGUUUUACCUCUCAUUGGUGUCGAUGGAUUGCCAUUCUUCACUCAACAGCGAGCUCCAACGUGUUGGUUAAUGGAGUCCCAGGAAGGAAAAUCUUCCAUGCUCAAGGUUUAAGGCAGGGGGUCUGAUUUCCCCCUGCUGUUGGUCAUUGCUAUGGACACUCUCAAGGUGAUUAUUCUGAAAGCUUCCAAUGCCAAUGUGCUCUUCAACUUGCCUGGGAUCUCAUCCAUGCAACGCCUGUGCAUCUUCGCGGACAAUGUAGUCCUGUUCACCCACCCAUCACAACUUGAUUCGAACUGCAUCAUUCGGAUCCUUGCUGCAUUUGGGGAAGCCACGGGUCUCAAGGCUAACUGUAUGAAAUCAUUGGCUAUUUUCAUAAGGAUUGGAGGGGAGGAAAAGCUACGUGUCCAGCAUCUCUUGGAAAAGCUACGUGACCCAUUCACCAUCUACUAGUCAUGGGGGCGCGGUAUUCGAGAAAAUUAACAAGUGGCUUCGAGCUAUCUUCUAGGCGGGAACUGAUAAGAUGCACGGUGACCAAUGCCCGGUGGCAUGAAGCAUGAUCUGCCGCCACACUUGUUACGGAAGCCUGGGUGUGAAGAAUCUAUAACUGCAAGCGAUUGCACUUAGAGUUUGCUGGGAAUGGCUUAGAAGGAAUUAACCUGACAGACCUUGGCAAGGCGUACACCUACUCUCAGAUGACAUGGCAAAAGAGGUUUCGACAACUUGGUGAAAAUUAUGCUGGGAGACGGCAAGAAGGUGCUGUUUUGGCGCGAUCGCUGGAUUAAUGGCUAUAUGGUUGAAGAAAUUGCUCCUCAUCAUACAGCUUGUCAGCAAAAGGGAUGCCUAUCCCGACUGCAUCUGGAUAUUGCAAUCCCUUUGAUUGUGGAAAAUCUAGAGGGUUGGUGACUCGCUCUAGAAAACAGUUGCAGGACAAAGCCGGGAAGGGAUUUGACUCGGUGGUCAUGCUAAUUGCCUGGAAUCUAUGGAAGCUUUGAUGCAUGGGUAUUCAACAAAAGAGAUAAACAGCGCUCGACUCACUCUCCAGUUGAUCAUAUUCUACAUGAGUUGAACUGUUGAAGGCAUGGAAGGAGGCCCGUGUGGUGUAUCUCAAUGUUUUUCUGAGUAGUUCGGUUUGGUUAUCUUUAGGUGUGGUUUAGUCAUUGACAUUGCGUAGCAAUUGCUGAGGACUCUCUUAUAAAUCUAUUUGCUGCCUUCUAUAAAAAUAUGAUACGUUAUUGGCA